Small nuclear RNA from Suncus etruscus (white-toothed pygmy shrew), 108 nucleotides. The record is from RefSeq and is a predicted model, not a curated record. NCBI's taxonomy places the organism in Eukaryota, Metazoa, Chordata, Mammalia, Eulipotyphla, Soricidae.
GUGCUCACUUCGGCAGCACAUAUACUAAAAUUGGAACGAUACAGAGAAGAUUAACAUGGCCCCUGCGCAAGGAUGACACACAUAUUUAAAAAAGAAUAAAAGACCUUU